UACGGAGGGCGCUAGCGUUGUUCGGAAUUACUGGGCGUAAAGCGCGCGUAGGCGGCUUUGUAAGUUAGAGGUGAAAGCCCGGGGCUCAACCCCGGAACAGCCUUUAAGACUGCAUCGCUAGAAUCCGGGAGAGGUGAGUGGAAUUCCGAGUGUAGAGGUGAAAUUCGUAGAUAUCGGAAGGAACAUCAGUGGCGAAAGCGACUUCCUGGACCAAUACUGACGCUCAUGUGCGAAAGCGUGGGGAGCAAACAGG
This 253-nucleotide ribosomal RNA is filed under the name uncultured bacterium. RNAcentral's name for it is "partial 16S ribosomal RNA". It matches the Rfam family "Bacterial small subunit ribosomal RNA", at positions 524 to 776 of the family's 1533-position model. The record is from RNAcentral.